This 612-nucleotide long non-coding RNA is filed under the name Piliocolobus tephrosceles (Ugandan red Colobus). RNAcentral's name for it is "lncRNA (ENSPTEG00000015756.1)". Lineage: Eukaryota; Metazoa; Chordata; Mammalia; Primates; Cercopithecidae. The record is from RNAcentral.
GAUUAGACUGAUAGCCAUUUUUUCUUAGAUAUAUAUAGAUGGAUAAAAUUACUUUAAUACAGAGUAAAAAUAGGACAAAUAUAUACAUUAUAUAAAACAACAUAUAUCACAUACAUAAAAAAAAAGAUAAAAUAGUUUUUCUUAUGUAAAUAUUUGCUUUGGCAUCCUUUUCUUUUUUCACUUUUUUUUUCUUAUCCUUCCUGUUUUAUAUUAUAAUUUUUAUCAUUCUUUUAAAUUAUUAUAUAUAUAUAUAUAUAUAUAUAUAUAUAUAUAUUUUUUUUUUUUUUUUUUUUUUUUUUUUCUACUUCUUUAUAUUAUCACCACAGAUCCCUUAGAUUAUAUUCGUUUGAAUGUAGAAGAAGAAAUUUUUGUAAAAUGUAAAGGGGAUAGAGAAAUAAUAGGAGUAUUGGAUGUCUAUGAUAAUCAUUUGAAUAUGAUUUUAUCAAAUGCUAGAGAAACAUAUAAACAAAUUACCAUCGAAGAUAAUGAAGAAAUUGUUAAAUGAUAUUAAAUAUUAAAAAUUUUUUUUUUUUAAAUUAAAUUAUAUUAAAAAAAAAGAAAAAGAAAAAAAUAAUCAAUAAAUAUUAAGAAGUAACGAAAAACGUUUGAUUC